This 112-nucleotide ribosomal RNA is filed under the name Caerostris darwini. The record is from RNAcentral. Lineage: Eukaryota; Metazoa; Arthropoda; Arachnida; Araneae; Araneidae.
AACGGCCGUACCAUGCUGAAUAUACCGGUUCUCGUUAGAUCACCGAAGUCAAGCAUCAUUGGGCGCGGUCAGUACUUGGUUGGGUGACCACCUGGGAACACUGCGUGCCGUU